CACAGACAUACUGGCAUACACACAGACAUACUGACACACACAGACAUACUGGCAUACACACAGACAUACUGACACACACACACACACACACAGACAUACUGGCAUACACACAGACAUACUGACACACACACAGACAUACUGGCAUACACACACAGACAUACUGACACACACACAGACCUACUGGCAUACACACACAGACAUACGGACACACACACAGACCUACUGGCAUACACACACAGACAUACUGACACACACACACACACACAGACAUACUGACACACACACACAGACAUACUGACAUACAUUUAGCCACCCUCCAGGUUCUUACCUUUUCCUGGAGGGUGGUUUCCCUGGUCCAGUGGCAGGCUGAGGCAGAUGGGAGUUCUCCUCUGGAACUCCCCUCCUCCCUGCCUUCCUCCUCCCGCGCGGCUAUCUCCGGUGGGAGGAAGUGACGUCACUUCCUCCCAGCCGGCUGCAGAAC
Pelobates cultripes (western spadefoot toad) is the source of this 481-nucleotide non-coding RNA. Lineage: Eukaryota; Metazoa; Chordata; Amphibia; Anura; Pelobatidae. The record is from the annotation of a GenBank genome assembly.